This 204-nucleotide long non-coding RNA is filed under the name Camelus dromedarius (Arabian camel). Its description in RNAcentral is "lncRNA (ENSCDRG00005020702.1)". The record is from RNAcentral. Lineage: Eukaryota; Metazoa; Chordata; Mammalia; Artiodactyla; Camelidae.
GCUGGCAGUGCCAGGACUGAAGGUUCACAGACGACCGUCCACCAGGAGGAGAGCCCCUGUGAGGCCGAGGGCACCCCUGAAGAGGAGACCUGCCCGUGGGUCCCCAUCUGUCACCCCUGCCCUCGCUGCUCUCAGCUGCCCGACACCACUCACCGUGCCUCCCGUUCAGAUGCGUGACCUCCACCACACUGAAGCCGACUUCAC